Long non-coding RNA from Vespa crabro (European hornet), 235 nucleotides. RefSeq lists it as uncharacterized. NCBI's taxonomy places the organism in Eukaryota, Metazoa, Arthropoda, Insecta, Hymenoptera, Vespidae. The transcript has 2 exons. The record is from RefSeq and is a predicted model, not a curated record.
AAGCAGAUACGAUACAUUAUAAAGGCACAACGAAAGUUUUAUAAGUGACGCAUGUGCAUAUAUGAUUAUUUCUCUGUGAGAAAAAUAGAGUGGCAUAGGAAAUAUACUCUUUUGAUCUUUUUUCUGUAGAUUCUUCUAUAUUUAAGGAGAAUAUAAUUUUCUAAAUUUCUUAGAAAUUUCGAUCCUAUGUCCGACUAAUUAUAAUACAAUGAAAUAAAAGCACUUUCUCUAUGAA